AAGUCGUAACAAGGUUUCCGUAGGUGAACCUGCGGAAGGAUCAUUAACACGUAUCCAAACGUUAAAACCCCCCCCGUGAACAUUGAUUCCUGCUCUUGUAACCCGCGAAGCUUGCAAUCUCUGGUAAAUCAUAGCCCGGAAAGUAGUGCGAAAUCACAACAGUUACAAUUCGAGCGGUAGUUCUAUAGGCCUUGUUUCCCCAAGCAGUCAGUGUCUGAAAGUGUCAGUGAUUGUGCAAGGAUAACGCUUCACGAUUCUUGUAGACCGCAUCUCGCGGGCAGGAGCUAGGCCAAAGGGUCCCCAUGCCCCCUUACAACCCCACAGUUAAAUGUGAAGCUCAAUGUAAUACAUUGGGUAAAAAACCGAACAACUGUUAACAAUGGAUAUCUUGGUUCUC
RNAcentral lists this unclassified non-coding RNA (397 nucleotides) under fungal sp. RNAcentral describes it as "partial internal transcribed spacer region". The stretch from base 1 to 46 matches the Rfam family "Eukaryotic small subunit ribosomal RNA", at positions 1786 to 1831 of the family's 1831-position model. Lineage: Eukaryota; Fungi. The record is from RNAcentral.